Molecule: ribosomal RNA, 17 nt
Filed under: Carex peregrina
Lineage: Eukaryota; Viridiplantae; Streptophyta; Magnoliopsida; Poales; Cyperaceae
Description: partial 26S ribosomal RNA
Source: RNAcentral
AUACCUCAGGUCAGGCG